UGCAUUAAUAACAAGUACCUCCACUUGGAAGUUAUUUACAUAAAGCAUUGUUCUCACAUCACUGCCACUGACAGCGGCUCCGGACUGGGUGAGAGAAGGACACCGAGAUGAAUUCAGCCAUACUUACCUUACUGUGCUGCGUGAGAUGAGGAGAGUUCAAAGACCUCAGAGCAAGUUUAAAACCUUAAUCACUGAACAAUGCUUCCACCUGCCUCUUGGUUUUCUCUGGGGACCUUCCAGCGCUGGCCAGUCCUGACCCUAUCUGACUUACUUCAGGGACAAUCCCAGUGUCUCAGGCUCUGAAAAAAGGGUGAAACAGCGACUGGAAAUGCUGCUCAAGCCAGCUUACAUGCUGAUCAGGAUCUGCUGCAGCCUGGGAAUAAUCUGGCACCAGCUUCUUGGGCAGGCAAGUAAAUCCUUACUGACAUCAAUGAACUGAAAAAUUCUGAGGCCUGGCAGUGACAAAGGGAAUAGUGAAUGAGAGCAGUAUUUCUUUAUAUUGAUCUACCUUUCCUCAUCUACUAAUAACACUGACUGUUUACCCUCUGUAAUAAGCUGUGAUGGGUGCUACGUGGGUCUUUGCUUUCCAGUUCUCCAGAGUCAGUACACACAGACCAAAAAACCUCCCAGUAAACAAGCUGGCUAGGACUAGAUAAAAUUAAGUGCAUUAAUAUUGUUGAAGCUUGCAAUUCAAACUCUUGUUUGACAAAUUUAGACACUGAUUUUAUACCUAAGAAUUCCUUCAACCAAUACUUGUGUCUUUAACUCUGUCUACCAGACAGGAAGAGCAGACUGCCUGCAAGAGAAGGGAUGGGUUCCCCACUUGGGGAUCCUUGGCAGAUGCUGAUGACUUUAUGGAGGAAAUUGGAGUUGAUUCUGUUCUUUGCAUUUCUGCUAUUAAUGGUACUUCUCAAGCUAUUUCUGCGCAUCACCAAAGGUAGCAGUGUGCGAGCAAUUAAGCCCAAAAUAAUAUAAUUCUUCAUCAGUUUCUCAAUCAAGAUUUGGUAUGCUUCAAAGAUACAAGGCUGCUUCUGAGAAGUGCCGAAAUACAGGAUAAUUUCAAAGCCUGAGGAAAGUGCGGUGUGACAAGUGGAUGCAACUGAAGUCUGUAAGAUGAUGCAAAAGACUAUUAGGAAUGAGGAUUUAAGAACACCUAGUGUACCUCCACACAACACACAGUUAAACUGUGGAACUCAAUAGCCCAGGAUGUUGUGAGUAUAAAAAAUGUCUAUGGCCUUAAAAAGUGAUAACGAAAAGUAAUGGAUGAAAUAAAAUAAAAAUCCAUCAAGAAGUACAAAAGCCAAAGCAAGAUGCAGGCUCUGGCUCAGUUAAUGAAAGCUGCUGAAGUCAAAGCCAGGAAGCUGAGCUAUGAGGCAGUGGUAUGGAGAUUUUCUUUUGUGGUCUCUUUCCUAAGUGCCUGCUGGUGGAGAAGGGCAAAUGUCCUUCCUAAACAAGACGCUUGCUCUAAUCUUUAUAUUACCAAUCUAAAAUAAGGCAGUGAAUAAAAAAGUACAAGCAGAGGUACAUACCG
Non-coding RNA from Coturnix japonica (Japanese quail), 1531 nucleotides. NCBI's taxonomy places the organism in Eukaryota, Metazoa, Chordata, Aves, Galliformes, Phasianidae. The record is from RefSeq and is a predicted model, not a curated record.